RNAcentral lists this long non-coding RNA (735 nucleotides) under Homo sapiens (human). RNAcentral's name for it is "HSALNT0347864". The record is from RNAcentral. Lineage: Eukaryota; Metazoa; Chordata; Mammalia; Primates; Hominidae.
AAAAGGUCACCAGAGCUAACAAAUGGGAGAACUGGGAUGUUAAGCCAAGAUCUGUCUGCCUCCGGACCCCAGCUUCAGAAAAGAGAUGAGCUUCAGAGACAUUGGAAAAGAACUCUGCUUGAGAAAGAAGAUCGUCCACCAGCAGGAAGACAAGCAUAGACAGUGGGCUACAGAAAAAAGUGUCUGUUCUGAGGAACAAUAGAAUGAACUGAAUGGAUAAAACAAGUUUUAUGGACAACUCAGACGUCAGUGUCUUCACAUUAUGAUACUUCAUCAGACAUUGGUAGUCUGAUUUCAGGUUUUCAUAUGAGAAUGGAGUUAAUAAUGGGACUUGGAUUCAAUACUCUAUUGAGGUAUGAUGUGUUUUUUCCUGUACUGACGGGGUUCAAACCAUGCUACUCCAAAAUAUGGCACCUUGGCAUUUGAGGAAACAGCAGAAUCAGGAAGACUGCUUUCACUUUCUCCUUGCCUUUCUUCCCUGAAGCAAUUCAUAAGACCUACAUUUGAGAGGUGCCAUUCCUAUACCCAGAGGAAAGGAAUAUCUUUAUCUUUGAAGACAUAGGUACACGGAGAAGAAUCUACAAAAGCAAGACUAGCUAACCCCCACCCCCAACCUGUUAGUUAUUGUCUAAUCAUAUUUCUUCAUGACCAUUCACUUUUUAAAAUCAAAAAUAACAUAAAAAAUAUACAGGUUUACUUACUUCUUUAGGUUCUCAUUUCCUUACAAAGGCUUCU